CUUACUUUUUCAGGUUUGACAAGCUGCUAUGGAUUGAAUUGUGCCCCUCUCCCCACACCAAAUUCAUAUGUUGAAGCCCAAACACACGAUGUCAUGGUAUUUAAAGAUGGGGCGUUUGGGAGGUAAUUAGGUUUAAAUGAGUUCUUGAGGGUAGGACCCAUAUAAUGGGAUUAGUGCCCUUAUUGUAAGACACCCCAGAGAGCCUGCUUACUUUCUUUUCUCUGUCUCUACCCACACCCCAGAAAAAAAUGCUUGUAUGAGGACAUAGUGAGGAAGGCAACCACCUGCAACCCAGGGAGAGAUACCUCAGCAGACACUGGCUCUACUGGCACCUCGAUCUCGGACUUUUACUCUCCAGAAACAUAAAUUCCUGUUGGGUAAACCACCCAGUCUACAGUAUAUUGUUUUGGCAGCCUGGGCUGAUUAAGGCAGAACAGAAUCCCCACAUAAGCAACCAAGUUGAGUCUGAAUUUGGCCCCAGGCCCUCUAGCUCUUUCAUGAAAGGCUGUUACUGAACAAAUGAAGAUUUAACCAGCUCAAGCAUCAAACGGCACAUUCCAGUUUGCUAAAAAGGUAAACAGUUCAAACAGGAAGUUAUGAUAUGUACCCAUCCACAGGUCAAUGAAAGUUUUUAUUUACAUUGGAAAACCUUGUGUACACUGGACUAAUAAAC
Molecule: long non-coding RNA, 673 nt
Organism: Pan paniscus (pygmy chimpanzee)
Lineage: Eukaryota; Metazoa; Chordata; Mammalia; Primates; Hominidae
Source: Ensembl